CAGGACAUAAUUAAAGUAGAAUGCUGGCUUUGGGGGUCAGUUGUGGGGGUUUAAAUCCCUCUGUCUUGA
RNAcentral lists this transfer RNA (69 nucleotides) under Calyptocephallela gayi (helmeted water toad). RNAcentral describes it as "tRNA-Pro". It matches the Rfam family "tRNA". Rfam says of the family: Transfer RNA (tRNA) molecules are approximately 80 nucleotides in length. Their secondary structure includes four short double-helical elements and three loops (D, anti-codon, and T loops). The record is from RNAcentral. Lineage: Eukaryota; Metazoa; Chordata; Amphibia; Anura; Calyptocephalellidae.